GAUGAAGAACGCAGCGAAAUGCGAUACGUAAUGUGAAUUGCAGAAUUCAGUGAAUCAUCGAGUCUUUGAACGCACAUUGCGCCCCCUGGUAUUCCGGGGGGCAUGCCUGUCCGAGCGUCAUUGCUGCCCUCAAGCACGGCUUGUGUGUUGGGCCUCCGUCCUCCUCCCGGGGGACGGGCCCGAAAGGCAGCGGCGGCACCGCGUCCGGUCCUCGAGCGUAUGGGGCUUCGUCACCCGCUCUUGUAGGCCCGGCCGGCGCUUGCCGACACAUCAAUCUUUUUUCCAGGUUGACCUCGGAUCAGUAGGGAUACCCGCUGAACUUAAGCAUAUCAAUAAGCGGAGGA
This 344-nucleotide unclassified non-coding RNA is filed under the name soil metagenome. RNAcentral's name for it is "partial contains 5.8S ribosomal RNA, internal transcribed spacer 2, and large subunit ribosomal RNA". The stretch from base 1 to 120 matches the Rfam family "5.8S ribosomal RNA", at positions 35 to 154 of the family's 154-position model. The record is from RNAcentral.